AUGAACUGCUUGCUAGACCCAGUCACCAUAGACUGUGGACACAACUUUUGCAGGCCCUGUUUGUAUGUCAGCUGGCCGGACAUCCCAGCUCCUGCUCAGUGCUCUGUAUGCAAGACGGAGAUACGGUGGAGACAACUUAAAACUAACGCUGCUUUGAAGAACAUGGCUUCCAGUGUCAGAAAAGCCAGCCCCUGGCAUUUCCUGAGCCCUGAGGAACCAAGUGUGGGAUUCACAGGAAGACAAAGAAGGUGUUCUGUGAAGUGGACCAGAGCUUACUCUGUUUACUGUGCUCCAACUCUCAGGAGCACCGGGAUCACAGACAUAGACACUGUCCCGUGGACCGGGCUGCUGAGGAAUGUGAGGAGAAGCUCCUAAAGAAAAUGCAGUUUUUAUCAGAAAAAGCUUGUGAAAAUCACAGAAACCUGAACAUGGAAACCACAAGAACCAGAGGCUGGAAGGAUUAUGUGAGCCCAAGGAUAGAAGCAAUCAGAGCUCAAUAUCAGAAGAUGCCGGCGUUUCUCCAUGAAGAAGGGCAACGUUAUUUGGAGAGGCUGCAAAAAAACGGCGAGGACAUUUUUCAGCCACUCAAUGAAAGCAAAGCUAGAAUGAAACAUUCGAGGGAGACGUUAAGAGGAAUGUAUGAGGAGCUGAAGGAAAUGGGCUAUAAACCAGAUGCGGAACUACUUCAGGCUUUUGGAGACAUGUUAUACAGGUGUGAGUUCCUGCUGCUGCAGGUGCCCAAGCCUGUGAAUCCGGAACUCAGUACAGGGCCCAUCGCUGGACUGGUGCACAAGCUCCGUGGAUUCAGAGUUGAUAUUAUUCUGCAUCCUGAAAGAACCAAUAGUCAUACCUUCCUGCAUGGAGAUUUGAGAAGCAUGAAUGUUGGGUGUGACCCUCAAGAUGAUCCCCAUAUCACUGCAGCACCUGGAUGUGUUCUUUCAUGGGGUGCUCAGACUUUCACAUGUGGAAAAUAUUACUGGGAGGUUCAUGUGGGGGACUCUUGCAAUUGGGCUUUUGGAGUCUGUAACAAUUAUUGGAAAGAGAAGAGACAGAAUGACAAGAUAGAUGAAGAGAAGGGACUCUUUCUUCUUGGAUGUGUUAAGGAGGAUGUUCACUGCAGUCUCUUUACCACGUCCCUACUUAUGGUACAAUAUGUUCCAAGACCUAGCAACCAAGUAGGAGUAUUCCUGAAUUGUGAAGAUAGAACCGUGAGCUUUGUCGAUGUUGAUCAAAGUUCCCUUAUACACACCAUCACGAAUUGCUCCUUCUCACCUCCUCUCAGGCCUAUCCAUUGCUGUAGUCACUUCUGAACAGAGACAAAUCAGAAAUGUGCCCACAUGCUAUAGGAACAACUUUAUCUCAGGAAGCUCUAUUUUCGUGCCUCAUCAAAGAGGACAAAUAAGUUACAUUUAAUGUCUUUAGUUGCCUUCUAAUGUCAAAAAACUCAAUAUUGUUUCUGUUGAGUGAAAACA
Molecule: non-coding RNA, 1472 nt
Organism: Saimiri boliviensis boliviensis (Bolivian squirrel monkey)
Lineage: Eukaryota; Metazoa; Chordata; Mammalia; Primates; Cebidae
Source: RefSeq, a predicted model, not a curated record